Molecule: ribosomal RNA, 362 nt
Filed under: uncultured eukaryote
Lineage: Eukaryota
Description: partial 18S ribosomal RNA
Rfam family: Eukaryotic small subunit ribosomal RNA
Source: RNAcentral
CAAUAGCGUAUAUUAAUGCUGCUGCGGUUGAAACGCUCGUAGUUGGACUUUGGGGCGUGAGUGACACUUGGCCUUCGGGCUUUAGGGUUACACGUGCUCUUAUGCCGUGAUCAGCCUCUUCGGGGGCGGUUUCGGCCGGUUACUUUGAAGAAAUUAGAGUGUUCAAAGCAGGCCAACGCCUUGAAUACGACAGCAUGGAAUGACAAAAUAUGACUUUGGUCUUGUUUUGUAGGUUUCCGGGACUAGAGUAAUGAUUAAUAGGGACAGUUGGGGGCAUUCAUAUUUGGAUGUCAGAGGUGAAAUUCUUGGAUUAUCCAAAGAUGAACUACUGCGAAAGCAUUUGCCAAGGAUGUUUUCAUUAA